UACGUAGGGUGCAAGCGUUAUCCGGAAUCAUUGGGCGUAAAGCGUUCGUAGGUGGUUAAGCAAGUUUGCGGUUAAAUCCGGUCGCUCAACGAUCGACUCGUCGCAAAAACUACUUAGCUCGAGAUUGGCAGAGGUCACUGGAAUUCCACAUGUAGGGGUAAAAUCCGUUGAUAUGUGGAGGAACACCAAAAGCGAAGGCAGGUGACUGGGCCAUUUCUGACACUUAGGAACGAAAGCGUGGGGAGCAAACAGG
This 253-nucleotide ribosomal RNA is filed under the name uncultured bacterium. RNAcentral describes it as "partial 16S ribosomal RNA". It matches the Rfam family "Bacterial small subunit ribosomal RNA", at positions 524 to 776 of the family's 1533-position model. The record is from RNAcentral.